This 1648-nucleotide ribosomal RNA is filed under the name soil metagenome. Its description in RNAcentral is "bacterial LSU rRNA". The stretch from base 1 to 1453 matches the Rfam family "Bacterial large subunit ribosomal RNA", at positions 1913 to 2925 of the family's 2925-position model. The record is from RNAcentral.
UUAAGCGCCAGUAAACGGCUGCUGUAACUAUAACGGUACUAAGGUAGCAACCCGGACGUGCACCGGGUACUGCCCCUCGGCGCGGCGACGCGCCGAGUGCAGUCGGCUAUAUGCUGGAAACCCCGAGUAUCCGGCGGUACCGCCUGUCCCACCCUCGCAGUAGGGUGCGGCCAUGCGCGGUGACAAUCCGUCCGGUGCGGGCAAUCAGCAGGAAAGGCCAGGGCUCGAGCAGUGGGUCGUCGGCUUCGUCGACGGCGAAGGCUGUUUCUCGAUCUCGGUCGUGCGCAAUCCCGGGUGCCUCCUCGGCUGGCAGGUCCAGCACGAGUUCUCGGUCACCCAGGCGGCGCCGUCGAGGCCGGCGCUCGAACUCCUCCAGCAGGUGUUCGGGUGCGGGCAGAUCAUCGAGAACCGGCGCCACGACAACCAUCGCCACGCGCUGCUUCGCUUCUCCGUGAAGCGAAGCAGCGACCUGGUGUCGGUGGUGGUGCCGUUCUUCGAAGAUCACCCACUGAUCACCGCGAAGCGCGCCGACUUCGAGGCGUUCGCCUCCGUCCUGCAGAUGAUGCAGGCGGGAGCGCAUCUCCACGAGGACGGCCUCCACCGGAUCGCCGCUGUCACAGAGCGGAUGAACCGGCGGGCGCGGUCUCGAUACCUGGAAUCCUCAGAGGCCAUACGCCGACCAGCUCGGUCCGACACCGAGCUGAAGAUAUGGUCCUAGCCCCAUGGCGACAUGGGGACUCACUAGAGCGAAAUUCCUUGUCGGGUAAGUUCCGACCUGCACGAAUGGCGUAACGACUUGGGCGCUGUCUCAACCAGUGGCUCGGUGAAAUUGCAAUACGAGUAAAGAUGCUCGUUACCCGCGGAAGGACGGAAAGACCCCGGGACCUUUACUACAGCUUGAUGUUGGAGUUUGGUACAAAUUGUGUAGGAUAGGUGGGAGACUGUGAAACUGGGACGCUAGUCUCGGUGGAGUCAACCUUGAAAUACCACCCUGUUUGUGCUGGGCUUCUAACCACGGUCCGUGAAUCCGGAUCUGGAACAGCGUCAGGUGGGUAGUUUAACUGGGGCGGUUGCCUCCCAAAAUGUAACGGAGGCGCCCAAAGGUUCCCUCAAGCUGGUUGGCAAUCAGCUGUCGAGUGCAAGGGCACAAGGGAGCUUGACUGCGAGACAGACAUGUCGAGCAGGAGCGAAAGCUGGGCCUAGUGAUCCGGCAGUGGCAUGUGGAAGCGCUGUCGCUCAACGGCUAAAAGGUACCCCGGGGAUAACAGGCUGAUAGUGCCCAAGAGUCCAUAUCGACGGCACUGUUUGGCACCUCGAUGUCGGCUCAUCGCAUCCUGGGGCCGGAGUAGGUCCCAAGGGUUGGGCUGUUCGCCCAUUAAAGCGGUACGCGAGCUGGGUUUAGAACGUCGUGAGACAGUGAAUAUCGCGCUGUCUGUAAAUUCGGCUAAAUGCUGGAAACUCCGGAUGCAUCCUGCGGUACCUCCAUUGUCACACCCGAGCGGUAGCCUUCGGGACGACAAGGGGGGUGACAAUCCGACAGGUGGGUGGUCGAAGUGACCGCGCCGGACAAUCAGCAGGAAAGGCUGGACGACUACCUGGCGGGAUACGUCGACGGGGAAGGAAGCUUCCACGUCGCGAUCCAACGGAA